AGAGUUUGAUCCUGGCUCAGGACGAACGCUGGCGGCACGCUUAACACAUGCAAGUCGAACGAGAGAAGAGGAGCUUGCUUUUCUGAUCUAGUGGCGGACGGGUGAGUAACACGUGAGCAAUCUGCCUUUCAGAGGGGGAUACCGAUUGGAAACGAUCGUUAAUACCGCAUAACAUAAUUGAACCGCAUGAUUUGAUUAUCAAAGAUUUAUCGCUGAAAGAUGAGCUCGCGUCUGAUUAGCUAGUUGGUAAGGUAACGGCUUACCAAGGCGACGAUCAGUAGCCGGACUGAGAGGUUGAUCGGCCACAUUGGGACUGAGACACGGCCCAGACUCCUACGGGAGGCAGCAGUGGGGAAUAUUGCACAAUGGAGGAAACUCUGAUGCAGCGAUGCCGCGUGAGGGAAGAAGGUUUUAGGAUUGUAAACCUCUGUCUUCAGGGACGAAAAAAGACGGUACCUGAGGAGGAAGCUCCGGCUAACUACGUGCCAGCAGCCGCGGUAAUACGUAGGGAGCGAGCGUUGUCCGGAAUUACUGGGUGUAAAGGGAGCGUAGGCGGGAUCGCAAGUCAGAUGUGAAAACUAUGGGCUUAACCCAUAAACUGCAUUUGAAACUGUGGUUCUUGAGUGAAGUAGAGGUAAGCGGAAUUCCUAGUGUAGCGGUGAAAUGCGUAGAUAUUAGGAGGAACAUCAGUGGCGAAGGCGGCUUACUGGGCUUUAACUGACGCUGAGGCUCGAAAGCGUGGGGAGCAAACAGGAUUAGAUACCCUGGUAGUCCACGCCGUAAACGAUGAUUACUAGGUGUGGGGGGACUGACCCCUUCCGUGCCGCAGCAAACGCAAUAAGUAAUCCACCUGGGGAGUACGACCGCAAGGUUGGAACUCAAAGGAAUUGACGGGGGCCCGCACAAGCAGUGGAGUAUGUGGAUUAAUUCGAAGCAACGCGAAGAACCUUACCAGGUCUUGACAUCGUAUGCAUAGCUCAGAGAUGAGUGAAAUCUCUUCGGAGACAUAUAGACAGGUGGUGCAUGGUUGUCGUCAGCUCGUGUCGUGAGAUGUUGGGUUAAGUCCCGCAACGAGCGCAACCCUUACUGUUAGUUGCUACGCAAGAGCACUCUAGCAGGACUGCCGUUGACAAAACGAGGAAGGUGGGGAUGACGUCAAAUCAUCAUGCCCCUUAUGACCUGGGCCUCACACGUACUACAAUGGCUGUCAACAGAGGGAAGCAAAGCCGCGAGGUGGAGCGAACCCCUAAAAGCAGUCUUAGUUCGGAUUGUAGGCUGCAACCCGCCUACAUGAAGUCGGAAUUGCUAGUAAUCGCAGAUCAGCAUGCUGCGGUGAAUACGUUCCCGGGCCUUGUACACACCGCCCGUCACGCCAUGGGAGUCGGUAACACCCGAAGCCUGUAGUCUAACCGCAAGGAGGACGCAGUCGAAGGUGGGAUUGAUGACUGGGGUGAAGUCGUAACAAGGUA
Molecule: ribosomal RNA, 1469 nt
Filed under: metagenome
Description: bacterial SSU rRNA
Rfam family: Bacterial small subunit ribosomal RNA
Source: RNAcentral